UGGCGGCGUGCUUAACACAUGCAAGUCGAACGGAAAGGCCCUGCUUUUGUGGGGUGCUCGAGUGGCGAACGGGUGAGUAACACGUGAGUAACCUGCCCUUGACUUUGGGAUAACUUCAGGAAACUGGGGCUAAUACCGGAUAGGAGCUCUUGCUGCAUGGUGGGGGUUGGAAAGUUUCGGCGGUUGGGGAUGGACUCGCGGCUUAUCAGCUUGUUGGUGGGGUAGUGGCUUACCAAGGCUUUGACGGGUAGCCGGCCUGAGAGGGUGACCGGCCACAUUGGGACUGAGAUACGGCCCAGACUCCUACGGGAGGCAGCAGUGGGGAAUAUUGCACAAUGGGCGGAAGCCUGAUGCAGCAACGCCGCGUGCGGGAUGACGGCCUUCGGGUUGUAAACCGCUUUCGCCUGUGACGAAGCGUGAGUGACGGUAAUGGGUAAAGAAGCACCGGCUAACUACGUGCCAGCAGCCGCGGUGAUACGUAGGGUGCGAGCGUUGUCCGGAUUUAUUGGGCGUAAAGGGCUCGUAGGUGGUUGAUCGCGUCGGAAGUGUAAUCUUGGGGCUUAACCCUGAGCGUGCUUUCGAUACGGGUUGACUUGAGGAAGGUAGGGGAGAAUGGAAUUCCUGGUGGAGCGGUGGAAUGCGCAGAUAUCAGGAGGAACACCAGUGGCGAAGGCGGUUCUCUGGGCCUUUCCUGACGCUGAGGAGCGAAAGCGUGGGGAGCGAACAGGCUUAGAUACCCUGGUAGUCCACGCUGUAAACGGUGGGUACUAGGUGUGGGGUCCAUUCCACGGGUUCCGUGCCGUAGCUAACGCUUUAAGUACCCCGCCUGGGGAGUACGGCCGCAAGGCUAAAACUCAAAGGAAUUGACGGGGCCCCGCACAAGCGGCGGAGCAUGCGGAUUAAUUCGAUGCAACGCGUAGAACCUUACCUGGGUUUGACAUGGAUCGGGAGUGCUCAGAGAUGGGUGUGCCUCUUUUGGGGUCGGUUCACAGGUGGUGCAUGGCUGUCGUCAGCUCGUGUCGUGAGAUGUUGGGUUAAGUCCCGCAACGAGCGCAACCCUUGUUCACUGUUGCCAGCACGUUAUGGUGGGGACUCAGUGGAGACCGCCGGGGUCAACUCGGAGGAAGGUGGGGAUGACGUCAAGUCAUCAUGCCCCUUAUGUCCAGGGCUUCACGCAUGCUACAAUGGCUGGUACAGAGAGUGGCGAGCCUGUGAGGGUGAGCGAAUCUCGGAAAGCCGGUCUCAGUUCGGAUUGGGGUCUGCAACUCGACCUCAUGAAGUCGGAGUCGCUAGUAAUCGCAGAUCAGCAACGCUGCGGUGAAUACGUUCCCGGGGCUUGUACACACCGCCCGUCAAGUCAUGAAAGUUGGUAACACCCGAAGCCGGUGGCCUAACCGUUGUGGGGGAGCCGUCGAAGGUGGGACUGGUGAUUAGGA
RNAcentral lists this ribosomal RNA (1436 nucleotides) under uncultured organism. Its description in RNAcentral is "partial small subunit ribosomal RNA". It matches the Rfam family "Bacterial small subunit ribosomal RNA". The record is from RNAcentral.